RNAcentral lists this long non-coding RNA (418 nucleotides) under Aotus nancymaae (Ma's night monkey). RNAcentral describes it as "lncRNA (ENSANAG00000038869.1)". The record is from RNAcentral. Lineage: Eukaryota; Metazoa; Chordata; Mammalia; Primates; Aotidae.
GCUGAAGUGAUUGACUCUUAGUUUCUUCCCCCGUCAGCGAAAUUUAAACGCAAACUGUUUAAUCUCCCGGAUGGAGAGAGAGGGAAGGCGGGCAUGGCACUGGGAUGUUCUUGCCCUUAAAACUACGCGCCCUGUGGACCCGGAAAGAGAACACAUUCCCUCACAAAGAGAUGAACCCCGCUUCCUGCUGCACAGCAGCUGGCCAUUUUGACGAAGACUUCGUCCUGUGAAGCUAAUACCUGGAUCAUCUAAGAUUUCAGGACUUUAAGGCCAGCAGUUGGAGGGAUUUGCUGCUAGCCCAGUUAAAUUUAAAAGGUGAGUGCAUGCUUUCAUGUAGAGCUCACUCUGAUGGGAGAGGGUCAUUGUCAUUUUAAAUAACCAUUUACAUCCAGUACAGCAUUAUUUCUUUCCAAUUAAU